GGAGGGUGCGAGCGUUAAUCGGAAUUACUGGGCGUAAAGCGCGCGUAGGCGGCCUGAUCAGUCGGAUGUGAAAGCCCUGGGGCUUAACCUGGGAAUUGCACUCGAUACUGUCAGGCUAGAGUAUGGGAGAGGGAAGUGGAAUUUCCGGUGUAGCGGUGAAAUGCGUAGAUAUCGGAAGGAACACCAGUGGCGAAGGCGACUUCCUGGCCCAAUACUGACGCUCAGGUGCGAAAGCGUGGGUAGCGAACAGGAUUAGAUACCCUGGUAGUCCACGCCGUAAACGAUGAGAACUAGAUGUCGGGAGGAUUUACCUCUCGGUGUCGCAGCUAACGCGUUAAGUUCUCCGCCUGGGGAGUACGCCGGCAACGGUAA
RNAcentral lists this ribosomal RNA (372 nucleotides) under uncultured organism. Its description in RNAcentral is "partial 16S ribosomal RNA". It matches the Rfam family "Bacterial small subunit ribosomal RNA", at positions 527 to 897 of the family's 1533-position model. The record is from RNAcentral.